CCACAUAACUGGCAGGGGAGAUCCGUAAUCCCAAAGACCAUUGUCCCAGGACAAGGGUAUCCCACUGCACUUCGGGUGUGCUGGUGCCUGCAAUGUCCCCAAACACAGGAUAAUCGACUGCAAAAUUUGUGAUAGCGGAGGAUUGCGUUCACACUCUCCCCUG
Molecule: small nuclear RNA, 163 nt
Organism: Rhincodon typus (whale shark)
Lineage: Eukaryota; Metazoa; Chordata; Chondrichthyes; Orectolobiformes; Rhincodontidae
Product: U1 spliceosomal RNA
Exons: 1
Source: RefSeq, a predicted model, not a curated record